CUCGCGCUACUGCUACCUGCUUCUUCGAGCUGCACGCCACAAGAAGUCCGCAUUACAUUUCUUUUAGCUGCUUCUUAGAAGCCUCACUAGAAGAUGGUCAACAAUGACUCUAUUCAGGCUCGGUGGACGACGGAAGCUCGGCAGAGGAUCAACGAUGAUAGACGUAACAAGUGGAUGUAUGAGUAAAAAUAAAUGUAAUGUAAUUGAAUGGCUAUUACAAUCAUAAUUGGAGUUUUUGUAUUUAAUUUUGUAUUUUAAGGCUAGAAUUUUCAUCUUUUCUGAAGAGAUGUGCCCGAAUCUAUGAUGCCAUGUCUUGAAAUCGAUGGCUGAAUUUGCUAGGAAAAUAUGGGGGGUGAAGAAGUAUAGUCCAUUUCUUGAUUCACCCUUGCCAAUCACUUUCUCGGAUUUGUUUUCUUGAAAUUCAAAACAAUGAUCAUCAAAAGUUACUUUAAUGUCAUUGUCUAGGGUUAAUUUGCUUAUAGCUAUGAGAUUAACCUUAAAUUCAGGAAUAUAUAAGACAUUUUUAAAGACUAGGAUUUCUGAAAUUUUAAUGCAUCCAACCACUUUAACUAUAAGUAUUUUGCCACUAGGUAUGGUGACAAAGGUAUUAUAUUUUUGAACUAAUGGUUUGGUGAAUAAAUGCAUGCUACCUGUCAUGUGUUGUGAUGCCCCGGUAUCCACUAUCCAUUUAUCAAUAUGUGAACUAGUGUUAAAUGAAAAUGAUAAAAAAUUACCUGAGUUGCUAUUGGCUUUUGUUGAAGAGAUUAGUUCUUUGCAAAGUUGGAUCUCUUCUUGACUAAGCACUAGUUGUUGCUGGUUGCAGGUGGAAGUGACCAGAUUUGCGGCAUCUGAAUUUUCAUUAUUCACUUUCUUUCCCUGAAAUUUCUUUUCAUCUUUGGGCCUCCCAACUAAGUGAUAACACUUAUCUCUAGUGUGACCAUAGUAUUUGCAGUUAUCAAAGUAGUACUUAGUGUCUAACUUCUUUCCAUUCUUGGAAUACAUGAUCUUUGAUUUAUCAGAAGUGUUCUUAUCUUUAGCAAAAAAUACGUAUUCUAUUUUUUCAUUGUUAUUGUCUCUAAACUUGAAUCUAUGUUUUUCUUCUUGAAUAACUAACCCAAGAACCUUAUUCAUGUUGGGUAGUUUUUCCAAUGAUAAAAUUUGAGUUUUAAGAUUGUAAAAGCUUUCAUUUAAUCCUAGGAGAUUUUGAUGAAUCAUAUCACUUUUUUCCUUUUGUAGAUAUAAUUUCUUGCAUAUUUUGCAAAAUUCCUCUUUUAUCUCAUCAAUUUGGACAAGUUGAUCCCAAAUUGAUCUGAAUUUGUCGUAAAAUUCAGAAGCAGACAAUGUUCCUUGUUGUAAACAACACAAUUCGUACUUAAUUUGACUAACCUUAGGGGCAUUGCUUUGUUUAUAUCUAUUUUCCAAAUCCAUCCAUAUUUGGUGUGCAUUAUUUGAAUACAUCAACGUGGACUGAAUUUGGGGAGAGACUGAAUUUAAUAUCCAAGCUAAAACCAAACAAUUCACAACUUUCAAGAUAUUGUAUUCCCUACUAGUAAUGUCAUCAGCCAUUUUUAUUUGGCCAUUAAUAAAAGAAUCUUUCCUUCUUGAGACUAAUGACACUUUCAUUCCAUUACACCAAGUGAUAUAAUUGGUUUCUCCAACCAAUCUAUCGGGCACUAGUAUAGCCCCCGAGUGAUCACUGGAGGUCAGGAAAAAAGGGGACUCUGGGUCCUGUAAAGAGGAUACAUACCUUUCUGUCCUAUGUCUUUUAAAAAAAGAAUUAUCAUAGAACCCUUCAGAGUUGUUUGCUUUAGACUUUCCAGUAGAUCCCGAUGAUGAAUGAUUUGAUGCUGCCGGUGUCUGAAUCGGAUUGCUUGGCCGUGCAACAGAAAUAGCCGGAGCAUUUGCAGGAGAGAUUAUGGAAGCGUUGGGUUUGUUGGCCAGAGGGAGGUCAGCAGCAACAUUCACCGAUGAUACCAUCAUAAAAACCAGUGAGGAGGGAUGAGACGACGCCAAAGAGGAGACUUCUGAUGUCCGGCGAGCUUCUGGUCGAGCACCCUGCCGGAAUCGCCCUAGGGUUUUCCACACAGUCAAAGAUUUCUGAAUCAUUAAAAUGCAAAAGCAGGAAAGUUAUUGUAAAGAAACCUCGCUGUCAAGAAAGCUACAGGUAUGCUAAAAAUUCUUCAUGUUUUUUAACUUAUGGAGACCACCCAGGUGCUUAAAUGGUGGUUGAUAAAUUGAGAGGUGAGGAGAAUUACAUGGCUUGGGCAAAUUCUAUGAGAUUGUCAUUAGUUUCUAAAAAGAAAACUUCUUUUCUAAAUGAUAAAAUUAGAAAACCCUUAAAUGAGGAAGGGGAGAAUUAUGAAGAUUGGGAGAUGGUUAAUGGUUUAGUGCUAUCAUGGAUCAUCAACAGAUCGAUAAGAUAGCAUCCACCCUAGUUAAUUUAAUUUAUAUUAAAUAUAAGAUUAUUAAAAUUAAAUUUUUAAGAAUUAAGGUAAAAAGUUUAUGAAUUUUAAAUUAUAGGUUUACUUUUUUAUUUUUUUUUUAUAAUUUAUAAUUUUUUAAUUUUUAUAAUUCCAGACGGGUCGCCUCGGAUCAAUUCAGUUCCGCGCCCCAGUCAUCGGGUCUAGGGCGGGUCUCAGGAUAGGAAGGUAGCGUGUCUGACCUGCCCCGUUACGUGCCCCAUUUUUCCAGAACGGGAUGGAUACCAUGGCCGCCCUGCCUGUGACCCGUCCCGUUCUCACCCCUAAUGACAUAUCUCUCGAAAGACAAUAUUUUCAACAAAAUGUGUUUUGGAUUUUGGUGUCAAAAAAAGAUGAUGUGUUUGAAAGAGAGGUAAGCACAUAGGGAAAAUAAGGAAGUGUAAAGGUGUGUUCGUAAACAAAUAAAAUAUAUCAUCGCAAAAAACUAAUAAAAAAUAAUAUAAUAAAUGGACGAGUGAUAUUUUCAAUGCAUUUAUCAAACUGUUGAGACCUUAUGAUGAGCUCAUGAAAAACAAUAGAAUAUAACUUAAUAGUUUACGUU
This 3021-nucleotide long non-coding RNA is filed under the name Zostera marina. Its description in RNAcentral is "long non-coding RNA (ZMAR_LNC004343)". The record is from RNAcentral. Lineage: Eukaryota; Viridiplantae; Streptophyta; Magnoliopsida; Alismatales; Zosteraceae.